RNAcentral lists this ribosomal RNA (253 nucleotides) under uncultured bacterium. RNAcentral describes it as "partial 16S ribosomal RNA". It matches the Rfam family "Bacterial small subunit ribosomal RNA", at positions 524 to 776 of the family's 1533-position model. The record is from RNAcentral.
UACGUAGGGUGCAAGCGUUGUCCGGAAUUAUUGGGCGUAAAGAGCUCGUAGGCGGUCUGUCGCGUCGGCUGUGAAAACUCGGGGCUCAACUCCGAGCUUGCAGUCGAUACGGGCAGGCUAGAGUGCGGCAGGGGAGACUGGAAUUCCUGGUGUAGCGGUGAAAUGCGCAGAUAUCAGGAGGAACACCGGUGGCGAAGGCGGGUCUCUGGGCCGAUACUGACGCUGAGGAGCGAAAGCGUGGGGAGCAAACAGG